GGGAACCAGACAGACUCAACGCAUGAUCCAGUGAGAUUAUCUUCCAAAGAAAGCAGACAGGAUACCAACAAGCUACCCAGUAGUUGUCAAAUAUAUCACCGCUUUAUAAUUCUGAGAUGAAAAGUAAAUGAAGGAAGACUAGCCCUGAGCUAACAUCCAUGCGCAUCUUCCUCUACUUUCUAUGUGAGACACCUGCGACAGCAUGGCUUGACAAGCGGUGCCAUGUCCAAACCCAGGAUCCGAACUGAACCCCGGGAUGCCAAAGCAGAAUGUGUGAACUUGACCGCUGUGCCACCAACCCCGCCCCUCAACAUUUUUUAAGAUAUUCAGGAUCCUGACAACCUCCAGAAAGAAAGUUAUGUAUUGGUACCCAUGAGGAAUGACAGAAGAAAAAGAUAAUGUGGUGUCUUGAAGUUCGUCACACAGGCUAGUCGACAUCCCUAAACCUCCUCUUUCCCUGACCACUUUUCCUGUACAACUGCCUCAUGAUUCCUAUGACUUUAAGUUGGUUCUUCAGGACGCUAGACCGCCAUCUUCCAAUUUUGCUAGCUAAUCAUAUAAAUUUUCAUUUCCCAAUCACCUGCUUGUUUGCAAUUAAUUGGCACCAGAUUGUGGUGAGCAGAAGGAACCUCUUUUUGCUUGGUUAUGCUUUCAUUUAAAUUCCAGUUUCUCCCCAAUUCCUAACUUUCUGUCUUUAACUUAGGCCAAUUUCUUGCAACUUUAUUCCAGCCAAUGACUUUGCUCAGAUAUUUAUAAGUGUGUAAAUGUUUCCCUCAAGUUUUCUGUUCUCGCCGGGAGUUGCUUCUUUGCAAAUGUCUGAUUUCUUUAUACUGCUAAUUUUUUUUGAAAUAUUAAGCUAUCCUUCUCUAUGUGAUUUAUUUGGAUUAUAAGGACUGCAAAAAUUAAAAAUGAGCAUUUGAAAUUCCAACUGAAAUAUAAGUACAUGUUUUAAUCUUAUGGGCAACAGAUGACUUCACACAAAAUGAUGCUUUGAGAUACCCUACAUUUCAUUGAUUCAAACAUUUCUCCAUAUCUUUAUCUUAGGAUUCUUGUGCUUAAACUUAAAUGUUAGUGUGGAAAUAAUUUAUCUUUCUAGGCAAUACCAUCAACAUAUGUAAUUACAGGUUUUACUCACUUAGCAAUAAUUUCAAAUGUGUGUUUCUUGUGUGUCUUUGAGAUAGACAUUGAUCUCUAAUUCCUAGAAUAUUUUCAUUUUACUUAACAGGCAUAUCUAUUUGGUCUAUGUGAAACUUCAUAUUGUCUAUUUGAACAUAUGGUCUAUUUGAAACUUCAGCAUUAAAUUUGAGAAUCAAAACCUUGUUUCUUCCAUUUUUCAUGAGUUCAUGGGAGAAGUAUAAUCGGAAGGAAGGAGACUUUAACUGCUUCUGCAUUUUUCAGUAGAUACCCACAUCCAGUGAAGAAAGUUAAAAUUAAUAUUUUGACAUAUAAUAUUCCUCAGAACUCACUCAAAUUUUGUUUCUAAACCUCAACUUAUACAAUUAAGUCCAUACGUUCUUUAUGUAGUUCCUCGGCUCUGGUCAUUAUUUGCUGAACACAUUUUUUUAAGUAACUGGAUGCCUCUGAUUAUCCCAAUUUUUUCUCCCUUUUCCUAUUUCUUUCUCUAAAAAGAUCAUUCCACUUUCAAAAACAUCUUAAUUAUGUCAUGUUUCUUGUGUAACUUUUCAAAUUCCUGCACCAACAUCAUUUUUCAUUUUUUGGUGCCCUCUUUUGACCUCAUUUAUACCAAUUUUAUAAAAUUUCACACAUACUAUUGUUAUUCAUUUAAAAUAAGUAUCCCUGAUUCUAUCUUGAUCAAUGAAGCCCUCCUAAAAAAUUUUCUUCACCUUCUCUUAUUCAUUUGACUUCUGUUUUUACUUAGUAACUCAUAAAAAUGUAGAAUACACAUAUUUAUAUAAAAUGUUCCUAAUUUUAAGAAUACGUUAAAAGAGGAAAUAAACACAUUAGAAUAGUUACCUUUGUUGGGGAGACUGGUUUUGUUGGGAAAGUGGUUGUGGACCACUUUCUUAUACCAUAUACAAAAGUAAACUCAAAAUUGAUUAAAUGCUUAGAUGUAAGGCCUGAAUCCAUAAAACUACUAGUAGAAAUCUUAGGUAGUAAAGAUCUUUGACAUCAGUCUGAGCAAUAUUGUUUUGGACUUGUCUCUUCAUGCAAGUGUGACAAAAGGAAAAUAAACAAAUUAGACAACAUCAAACUAAAAAGCUUUUGCACAGCAAAGGAAACCAUCAACAAAAUGAAAAAGUAGCCUAAGGAACGGGAGAAGAAAUUUGGAAAUGUCAUAACUGAUAAGGGUUUAAUACCCCAAAUAUAUAAAGAACUUAUACACCUCAGUGCCAAAAAGCAAACAAUUCUAUUACAAAAAGAACAGAAGUCCUGAAUAGACAUUUUUCUCAAUAAGACACACAGAUGGCCAACAGGCAGAUGAAAAGAUGCUCAUUGUCACUCAUCAAAGGAAUGUAAUGAAAACCACGAUCUCACACUUGUCAGAAUACCUCUUAUCAAAAAUAAAACAAAUAAGUAUUGAUGAGGAUGUGGAGAAAGGGGAACACUGCUGCUCUGUUGGUCAGAACGCAAAUUGGUACAGUUACUACGGAAAAUAGCAUGGAGGUUUCUCAAAAAAUUAGAGAGAACAACCAAAUGCUCCAGCAAUUCCACUUUUGGGUGUUCAUCCAAAGAAAAUAAACACACUAAACUGAAAAGAUAUAUCCGGCCAUAUGUUCAUGGCAGCUUUGUUAAAGAUAGCCAAGACAUGGUAGAAAGUGAAGUUUCCAUCUGUAGCUGAAUGUAUAAAGAAGAUUUGGUGUAUAUAUAUGCAAUGGAAAAUUAGUCAACCGUAAAAAAGAAUGCAACCCUGCCAGUUGCAAAAAGAUGGAUGGAUCUAGAGUGUAUUAUGCUAAAUGAAGUAAGUAAUUUGAGAUCUUAAUAAAAUGGCUGAAGUAAGUCAUUUGAGUUCUAAAAAAAUGUCUGCAAUGUGAUGUGCAUUCUGUAACAAAUCCUUGAAGCAAUGAAGGCUUUAAUGAAUUUAGUAAUGAUUACAAAUUGCUAUGAGCAAAUUCUUCAGGGUAGAGAUCAUUUUGUGUUAUCCACCUGCUUACACUCUUACACUACUGGAACACAGUUAACCUAAAUGUGAACCACAUUUUACAAAUUCUACAUAAAAGAUUCAGGCUAGAGAUAGGAACUGUAGGGUUUGAUGAAUCUAUGCCCUCAUGGGUGCUUUUGUCCUUCUUUUCUUUAAUGAAAUUAUUCCAGUGGAGCUUCUGUGACUCAUUGCCCUGGAAGCAAAUCCUCCAGGACACUCUCUAGAAGAUGGUGUUCAAACUGAUGUGACCACUCCAAAGACCCUUCUAAGCAAACAACACAGAGACUUACGCCCUUGAACAUUAUCCAGAUAUUUCAACACAAAUGUGGAAGUGACAAAGACUCUCUCAGCGUCAAGCAUUUACAUGUGUUUUUGUUCUGCAUUAUUUUUACUUACUCGACAAAAAUCACGAAGUUGAUUGUGUCAGCUGCACUGUCUAAAUCAAGUCUAAAUGGUCCAUUCUCACUAAUCUUCUCUAUGUUACUGGAUGCACUGUAAAGCGUUUUCCGUUCUCCUGAUAACGAAAAGCAAAGUUCCUAUGAGAAUUUUUAGUCAUGCUCUUUUCAACGUUUUUGACAUCAUCCAUCAUGAAUUUUCUGUCCCUUUUACAUCAACACCAAACUCACUAUGUUUAUUAAACAAAAGCAAGUUUUAUAAAAUAGUGUGAAAACUGAAGUCAAUGGUAAAAGAAGAAAUGGAGAUAUUUCUGAAAUAGCUUAAGUUUUAUUAUCAAAGUAAAACUCCAGUUCAACAGUUCUUUGGUCUGUUUCUCCAUCUUAGACAGGUACAAUAGAACUGCCUAAAGAGCAAAUUAAUAGACAAUACUGAGACAAUUUAAGACAAGUACAGUAGAAAUGUGUAAGGAGCCACUUAAAAGAGUGAUUCUGAGUUUGGAGGUAGACGGCUAGGCUUAGGUGCACAUAAAUUUGGCUAUACACAGAACAACCCCCAAAGGGACACACAGACACACCACCAAGUCAUACUCUCAGAUCAGCCAACCCUUGUUACCAGUGAGUAAUUGGUCUCAGGCUGAGAUUCCUGCUCAGCACAAACCACACCAAGUGCAAGAGUCAGGAGCAGUAUCUUCAUCUCGUUGGUGCUUGUUGACCUUCUUCUGGAGAAGCUGAGUAUGUGCUGGUUGUUGGAGAGAAUCAGAAUUUUCACCACUUUUUAUAGUAUUGGUCUGUUUACAUGAUGCAUAAUGAACCAACAGAUGUUAAUCUUAAGACCUUAGUUUCGUGUACACUUUCUUAUAAUAUCCUGGUAGGCAGUGGUGAGCUUUUAUGGCACUCUGUUCUUUUGAUAAUGAGAUUAACUUUAAGAGAAGCAUUAUGUUGAUUUGGAUGUUUGGUGUUUACAUUAAGGAAGAGAUCACAAUACACAUGAAGUAUUUGAAGGACAGCAAUAUUUAUCCUCUUAGAUCCUGAGUCCCAAAAUGUGAUAAGCUGUCCAAGACCUGUAUCCCCAACUCCCACAUCAUUUCUUUAACAUGGAGGAGGUAUGUUUAAAUUGACUUUCUAAACUAAGUUGUUACCGUCUGGUUUAACAAUAAUAAAUAUGGCAUCUAGGUCAUGAAUCAGUUAUCAAAAUGUUCCUGAAGAGUCUAUAUUUAAGAUUAAUGAAAUCUUUUCAACAAGAGCUACUUCUUGUCUAUUGAUAAGAAUACAUUAUUUAAGAAUCCCUCCCAAAUCCAUGUCUACAAUUUCAUUUUGCUGUGAGUGAACAACUUAAUGUCACUAAAAUUUUUGAGUCUUCUGCCUUGUGUAUAGCUCCUAAUAUUGACAUCUGUGUUUUUGCAGAUCAUCUUCCUGAGCUGUCCAUACAGUGGGUGGCCUAGCUUAGAGAAACCACUGGAAAUCAAUCUCUGAAUAAUAUUCAAUUAUUUGCCACGUAAAUAUUUUCUUUGCUAAGUGUCUCUGUGAUCCAUGUGUUUUGAGUAGGCUGUUUCAUAUGCUAUUUUUGAGUUUGGAGAUUUCUUUAUAUAUUUUGGCUACAAGCGAUAUUUCAGAGAGAAGAGUUGCAAAUAUUUUCUCCCAAUACAUGGAUUCUCUUUUCAUUCCCUCAAAAGUGUCCCUCAAAGACCCAAACAUCUUCAUUUUGCUGAAGAUCCAAGUUAUAUAUUUAUUGUUUGAAAGAAGAAUCAUGCUUUGGAGGCUUGUCUAAGAAAUAUUGGCUUAACCUACAAGGUCACAGAUCUUUCUCCUAUUUCUUCUUCUGGAAUUUGUAGCUUUUCACUUUACAUAUCAAUCACUUUGAGUUUACUAUGUGGGGCAAAGUAUGGGUUGCAGCUCUUUUUUUUAUCCUUUUCUGCACAUGGAUAUCCAAUAUUUCCAGCAAGUUUUGUUGAAAAGACUAUUCUUUUCCACUGAAUUUUUUUUAAUGUUUAUUGAAAAUCCAUUGUCUAUAUAUUUUUGUCACUUCAACAGGAGCAGGUUUUGUUUGGUUUGGUUUUAUUUUCCCCAUUCUCUUACAUAUUCAACAAAACCAGUUAGGACGUGAAGGUCAUAUGACUUCUUUUACGAAUAAAAUAAAAUAAGAAUUAGGCUCCAAAGACCAACCAACCUUGACAAUCUCACAGAGUAACUACUAAUCCACUUUCCUUUGGGUGACCAUUCAGUGAAACUUCUUCAUGUUUUUGAUUUCCUAAGAGACCCCCAGGCAGAUUGCCUAUUCCUUUAAGGAGAAGAUCAUAUCAGCAUAAAACACCGAUCACCUGCUUCUUCCUUGAGGCAGGCUCUUUUUUCCAUUUUACUAAGAGCUCUUUCCUUGUAAAGGUUCAAUAACCUCACUGGAAGAAAAGCAAAUGAAAUAUUCAUUAACAUUGUUCUGUUUUCCUAACAGCUUCAUGAGAAGCUGAUCUUUGAUAUAUUAUUUAUUCUUUGACUCAAUUGUUUCUCCAAGAAAGCAAAAAAGAGUGACAGCACCUCCCCAAUUUUUAACAACUUGAAAAGAAAAAAAACUUUCCCCAUCUCUCUGUACAGGUGCUUAUUUUCAAGGACAUUUAAUCAGCCAAAGAACUUCUUUUUUGUCACAUAUUUCCAUAUCUGUCCAUUUUCUUUCCCAGUAAUUUAUCAGAUAUAUUUUCAUUGUACUGUAAAAAUGAAGAAACAAUGGUGCUCUCAUGAUUUCCAAGUUAGCUGAGUGAAAACACCCACCGUAUUGACACAGGGCAGCUAUGUGCUCCAGGGACACCUCAGAGCCUCAGAACCAUUCCCUUUGUUAGGUGUCUGACUUAGGAGGAGAGCUUGGCUGGAAGGCUUCUGCCUAUGUCUUCAAUUGGCCACUGGCCUUCCCACUCAGAAUAGACCAACACUGUUUGUUCCAUGUUCUUAUAUCUCUCACUCUCUGAUUUCUUUUGCCUUGGUUCCAAUAAUUUUUUUCUCUGUUUUAUUUAUAGCUGUGUGUAUUGUGCUCUUUAAAGUCUGAUUGCAAAAGCUAUGAGGUGGAAAGUUUCCAUGUCUCACAAUGUCCUCACAAAUUUUCCCCAUCACUUCACUGAUUUUGAUAAUUUUGAGUAGGAGUAUAAUCCCUACUAACAUAGUGUCCCACCCAUUUUCCCCUCUCCAUCUCUUCUUAUGUACCUCCAAUAUUGCCAGGUUUUCUGUUGGAGUCCUAGCAGCACAUGUUUCCUGGGUAUGUAUCCUAAGAUCAUUUUGUUACAGGCUCUUAACAUCAGCCCUGAUAUCAGUUCCCCACAUUGAACCCAGCGUAUAUGGGGUUAAAACUAAAACCCACCACCCUGCUUCUCUAGCUCCACUCACAUGUAAACACCUGUUUCUUUAAACUUUGACUCCUUGAGCUUUACAACUAAAUGGGAGUUACAAAUUGUUAAAAGCCCAGGCAGCCUGGAGUUGGAGGCACACUAAAGUUUAGCUAAUCAUCUCUCCUUGAAGUUUGCCAGGAAAGCCACUGUCUCAAGAACAUCAAGAAGCGGAGGCUUCCCAGACCUCAACUUCUGGACUCCUGGCACUCGAAUCCACCUCAAACAAGAAAACAAGACAACGGCGAAGGAUGUCCACCUGCCAUCCUCCUAUCUCACCAUCCCUGCUGCCUUGCUGCAAGCAGCCUCUCAAGGACAAAUGCAGGCUAGUGUAAAAGCACCGACCUGCCGAAGCUACAUGUUUCCCCCUCCCCUACCCAAGCCUCAAAUAAAAAUCCCUACCCAUUCCUCAUUGGGGAGCUAGCAAUUUUUGAGGCAUGAGCCCUUGCUUUGCUCCCUGUGCCUGGCAUAGUAAAAACCUUUCCUCUCCACUCAAGACUGUUCUCAUUAUUUGGAUUGGCAUCCGG
Long non-coding RNA from Equus asinus (donkey), 7387 nucleotides. The record is from Ensembl. NCBI's taxonomy places the organism in Eukaryota, Metazoa, Chordata, Mammalia, Perissodactyla, Equidae.